AUCUGCUUGGUGACGCAGGAUAUUACACCGGACACUUUUCUUGUACGAUCUCGGGAAAAAUAUAUUUGGUCAGUCGCCGUCUGCUGUAGCUGUGAUUGGUGUCCUGAAAUAGGUCACAAACAAGAAUAUUAGUGAAGUCUUGAUGUUGGGCUACUAAGUACCUGCUGGCUGUAGCCUUAAAUAAACAUGAAAGCAAAAAAGAAGUCAAAAGUGACGAAAAAUGUGACUUGUCAGCAGGUUUGACCAAGUCUUUGCUCGCACACGCAGUCAGAAGGAUCUUCCAAGGUAACGUGUCAAGAACAGAUUCAUUGAUCAAAAGGAAACACCCUGGAUUGGAUACCAAUCCUGUUCAGGUCUAAGGCAGAACCCCUUUAGGC
This is a long non-coding RNA of Gasterosteus aculeatus aculeatus (three-spined stickleback), 377 nucleotides long. The record is from Ensembl. Lineage: Eukaryota; Metazoa; Chordata; Actinopteri; Perciformes; Gasterosteidae.